This 713-nucleotide ribosomal RNA is filed under the name uncultured Candidatus Poseidoniales archaeon. RNAcentral's name for it is "bacterial SSU rRNA". It matches the Rfam family "Archaeal small subunit ribosomal RNA", at positions 1 to 720 of the family's 1478-position model. Lineage: Archaea; Methanobacteriati; Thermoplasmatota; Candidatus Poseidoniia; Candidatus Poseidoniales. The record is from RNAcentral.
UUCUGGUUGAUCCUGCCGGAGGCUACCGCUAUUGGAGUUCGAUUAAGCCAUGCGAGUCGAGAGUCUUAGGGACUCGGCGUACCGCUCAGUAACACGUGGGUAACCUGCCCUAUGCUGGGGAAUAACCUCGGGAAACUGAGAAUAAUACCCCAUAGUUCACCACGCCUGGAACGGUGGGUGGAUGAAAGCUCCGGCGGCAUAGGAUGGGCCUGCGACGUAUCAGGUUGUAGGGGGUGUAACGUACCCUCUAGCCAUCAACGCGUACGGGUGUUGGGAGACAUAGCCCGGAGAUGGAUUCUGAGACACGAAUCCAGACCCUACGGGGUGCAGCAGGCGCGAAAACUUGGCAAUGCGAGCAAUCGUGACCAGGGAACUCCAAGUGGCUGGGGUAAUACCCAGUUUUUUCUUGACUCUUCAAAGGUCUUGGAAUAAGGGGUGGGUAAGGACGGUGCCAGCCGCCGCGGUAAUACCGGCGCCUCAAGUGGUAGUCGCUUUUAUUGGGCCUAAAACGUCCGUAGCCGGUCUGGUGCAUUCGUGGGUAAAUCAACCCGCUCAACGGGUUGAAUUCUGCGAGCACGGCCAGACUUGGGACCGGGAGAGGUGUGGGGUACUCUCAGGGUAGGGGUAAAAUCCUGUCAUCCUGAGAGGACCACCUGUUGCGAAGGCGCCACACUAGAACGGAUUCGACGGUCAGGGACGAAACCUAGGGGCAC